This 118-nucleotide ribosomal RNA is filed under the name Pteropus alecto (black flying fox). Lineage: Eukaryota; Metazoa; Chordata; Mammalia; Chiroptera; Pteropodidae. The record is from RNAcentral.
GUCUAUGGCCAUGCCACCACGAACUGGUCCGAUCUUGUCUGAUCUCGGAAGCGAAGCAGGUUGGACCUGGCUAGUACUUGGGUGGGAGACCACCUAGGAAGACUAGGUGCUGUAGGAG